CAAUAGCGUAUAUUAAAGUUGUUGCAGUUAAAAAGCUCGUAGUUGGAUUUCUGGUGGGAGCGAUCGGUCUGGCGCUUAGCGCGAGUACUUGCAUCGUCUCCGGCCAUCCUUGGGGAGAGUCUGUCUGGCAUUAGGUUGUCGGGCAGAGGAUCCUCAUCGUUUACUGUGAAAAAAUUAGAGUGUUCAAAGCAGGCUUAUGCCGUUGAAUAUAUUAGCAUGGAAUAAUAAGAUAGGACUUUGGUACUAUUUUGUUGGUUUGCGCACCAAAGUAAUGAUUAAUAGGGACAGUUGGGGGUAUUCGUAUUCCGUUGUCAGAGGUGAAAUUCUUGGAUUUACGGAAGACGGACUACUGCGAAAGCAUUUACCAAGGGUGUUUUCAUUAA
Molecule: ribosomal RNA, 383 nt
Filed under: uncultured eukaryote
Lineage: Eukaryota
Description: partial 18S ribosomal RNA
Rfam family: Eukaryotic small subunit ribosomal RNA
Source: RNAcentral